Molecule: ribosomal RNA, 203 nt
Filed under: uncultured bacterium
Lineage: Bacteria
Description: partial 16S ribosomal RNA
Rfam family: Bacterial small subunit ribosomal RNA
Source: RNAcentral
GACAGAGGGUGCAAACGUUGUUCGGAAUUACUGGGCGUAAAGCGCGCGCAGGCGGCACACCAAGUACCCUAUGAAAUCUCCUUGCUCAACGGGGAGGGUGUUGGGUAGACUGGUGAGCUAGAGGACGGUAGAGGGGGGUAGAAUGCUGGUGUAGCGGUGAAAUGCGUAGAGAUCAGCAGGAAUACCCGUGGCGAAGGCGGCCC